RNAcentral lists this ribosomal RNA (500 nucleotides) under uncultured bacterium. RNAcentral's name for it is "bacterial SSU rRNA". It matches the Rfam family "Bacterial small subunit ribosomal RNA", at positions 16 to 507 of the family's 1533-position model. The record is from RNAcentral.
AUCCUGGCUCAGGAUGAACGCUAGCGGCAGGCUUAACACAUGCAAGUCGAGGGGCAGCAUGAGGGUUAGCAAUAACCCUUGAUGGCGACCGGCGCAAGGGUGCGUAACGCGUGAGCAACUUGCCCGUUUCAGGGGGAUAACCGGUGGAAACGCCGACUAAUACCCCAUAGCAUUGAUUUAAGGCAUCUUUUAUCAAUUAAAGAAUUUCGGAAACGGAUAGGCUCGCGUGACAUUAGCUUGAUGGCGGGGUAACGGCCCACCAUGGCGACGAUGUCUAGGGGUUCUGAGAGGAAGGUCCCCCACACUGGAACUGAGACACGGUCCAGACUCCUACGGGAGGCAGCAGUGAGGAAUAUUGGUCAAUGGUCGAGAGACUGAACCAGCCAUGCCGCGUGAAGGUCACGGCCCUAUGGGUCUUAAACUUCUUUUGCAAGGGAGCAAUAAGUCCCACGUGUGGGAUGAUGAGAGUACCUUGCGAAUAAGCAUCGGCUAACUCCGUG